GAUGAACGCUGGCGGCGUGCUUAAUACAUGCAAGUCGAGCGAACAGACGAGGCGUUUGCUCCUCGGACGUUAGCGGCGGACGGGUGAGUAACACGUGUAUAAUCUACUUAUAAGACUGGGAUAAUUUCGGGAAACCGGAUCAAAUACCGGAUAAUAUAUUGAACCGCAUGGUUCGAUAGUGAAAGACGGUGUUGCUGUCACGUAUAGAUGGAUACCCGCCUGUUUGGCUGGUUGGUAAGGUAACGGCUUAUGAAGGCGACGAUGCGUAGCCGACCUGAGAGGGUGGUCGCCCACACGGGAGCUGGGACGCGGUCAAGGGGCCUGCGGGACGCAGCAGUAGGGAAUCUGCCGCAGUGGGCGAGAGCCUGGCGGAGCAGCGGCGAGUGAGUGAUAACAGCCUUCCGUUCGUAAUACUCUGUUAUUAGGGAAGAACAAAUGUGUAAGUAACUGUGGCCGUCUUGACGGUACCUAAUAAGAAAGCAACGGCUAACUACGUG
This 497-nucleotide ribosomal RNA is filed under the name uncultured bacterium. RNAcentral's name for it is "partial 16S ribosomal RNA". It matches the Rfam family "Bacterial small subunit ribosomal RNA", at positions 28 to 507 of the family's 1533-position model. The record is from RNAcentral.